This is a long non-coding RNA of Triplophysa dalaica, 655 nucleotides long. RefSeq lists it as uncharacterized. The record is from RefSeq and is a predicted model, not a curated record. The transcript has 4 exons. Lineage: Eukaryota; Metazoa; Chordata; Actinopteri; Cypriniformes; Nemacheilidae.
CGUUUUUGUGUGUGCUUGAUCAUAAGAUUUAGUGCGUUUUGGCCAACUUCACUCCUGUUUUUUGUUGUGCGCAUGCGUGUCCUCCGCUUAAAGAAAAGGAGCACAUUAGUUUUUUGGCGUGUUCUUCAGGUGAACUUUUCUUCGCAUACAAAUCGGUCAGCGAGAUUCAGAGCCCCUUCCUGUCGUUUCGGCCGUUGCCAUGGUGAUGACCCGAUGUCGCGCUGCUGCAGCGCUUCGUUCCCACCUCUGGCGGCGCAGGAAAUGGUCGCCAAAACGCUGAGUCAUCGCCUGGCAACCGGCCAUGGCAACGGAUGAGGGCAGAUCUCCGGCACCCCGAUGGUGAUAAAACUCUUGAUAAACCACCGGAAAUGCAGCUAUAAGCUACUUAAACCAACGUGACCGAAGCCAUCCGACAUAUAUCCGGCAUAUCUUCUACAACGUGGAAAAUUGAUUGAACUGUCAGAAUGGUCGGUUUUAUCCGGUCACAUUGCCGUGGAUUAUGGAUGUUACUGUGGCAACCGGAAAGAGCAGGACACUGUAUGUCUCUCUCUUCCUGCAUCUAAAGAAGGAAACAAUAGAAGAUAUUUUCAAGAACGUUGGUAGCCAAACAUCAUUGGCCCCCAUUGACUUCCACUCUAUGGACACAAAUCCACUG